This 253-nucleotide ribosomal RNA is filed under the name uncultured bacterium. RNAcentral's name for it is "partial 16S ribosomal RNA". It matches the Rfam family "Bacterial small subunit ribosomal RNA", at positions 524 to 776 of the family's 1533-position model. The record is from RNAcentral.
UACGAAGGGGGCUAGCGUUGCUCGGAAUCACUGGGCGUAAAGCGCACGUAGGCGGCUUUCUAAGUCAGGGGUGAAAUCCCGGAGCUCAACUCCGGAACUGCCUUUGAUACUGGAAAGCUUGAGUCCGGGAGAGGUGAGUGGAACUGCGAGUGUAGAGGUGAAAUUCGUAGAUAUUCGCAAGAACACCAGUGGCGAAGGCGGCUCACUGGCCCGGUACUGACGCUGAGGUGCGAAAGCGUGGGGAGCAAACAGG